This 473-nucleotide ribosomal RNA is filed under the name Fusarium solani. RNAcentral's name for it is "partial large subunit ribosomal RNA". It matches the Rfam family "Eukaryotic large subunit ribosomal RNA", at positions 74 to 558 of the family's 3401-position model. Lineage: Eukaryota; Fungi; Ascomycota; Sordariomycetes; Hypocreales; Nectriaceae. The record is from RNAcentral.
AUUGCCCCAGUAACGGCGAGUGAAGCGGCAACAGCUCAAAUUUGAAAUCUGGCUCUCGGGCCCGAGUUGUAAUUUGUAGAGGAUGCUUUUGGUGAGGUGCCUUCCGAGUUCCCUGGAACGGGACGCCAUAGAGGGUGAGAGCCCCGUCUGGUUGGACACCGAUCCUCUGUAAAGCUCCUUCGACGAGUCGAGUAGUUUGGGAAUGCUGCUCUAAAUGGGAGGUAUAUGUCUUCUAAAGCUAAAUACCGGCCAGAGACCGAUAGCGCACAAGUAGAGUGAUCGAAAGAUGAAAAGAACUUUGAAAAGAGAGUUAAACAGUACGUGAAAUUGUUGAAAGGGAAGCGCUUGUGACCAGACUUGGGCUUGGUUGAUCAUCCGGGGUUCUCCCCGGUGCACUCUUCCGGCUCAGGCCAGCAUCAGUUCGCCCUGGGGGAUAAAGGCUUCGGGAAUGUGGCUCUCUCCGGGGAGUGUUA